UCAAACACCAUUGUUGGAGUUGGAGAAGGAAGAAAAUGCUGGUUUUGUUGAAGAAGAGGCAAAAGGGUCCUCAAUUGAUGAACCUUUUGUUGAAGACAACGAAGAAAGUGAAGCCUAUGAACCAGAAGAAGAAGAAGAAGAAGAUAUUGAAGAAAGUGAAAACUAUGAACCAGAAGAAGAAGAAUUAAUGGAAGGAAACAAUGUGUUAAGUACUGAAGAGAUGAACAAAAGAUUUGAUGAAUUUAUCAGAAAAAUGAAGGAAGGAUUAAGGAUCGAAGCUCAACAACAAUUAGUCAUGCAGGUUUAAUCAUCACCAAAGAAUCAAAAUCUCCAUAUUGUUCAUAUAGUUUCCAUGUUUGUAUAAUAUAUAUAUUUUUCUGUUCUUCUCCUUUUCACUAUAAUUUUGUACAUAAAUGGUAGUAGUUUUAGUAGUCUGAAGCAUUAACCAGACCUGUUGAUGGGAUGGGAUGAUUGGGGAAUCAAAUUUGAAUUAGAAUUAAUCACAUUAAAUUUUCGUACUAAGGUCGAAAUUAGCAGGUCUAGUUAUAGUUAUAGCUCAUUUGCAAUAAAAAUCCUUGUUGUUUUAAAGGAUAAAUGUCGUAGUUUCACCUUAUGUAAAUCAUGUGUUUGAUAAUACAAUAUUAGCUCCUUUACUUUUUGCUUUUAACUCAUGUUGGACUCUUAUUUUAUUUUGAAAUAUUUCGUAUUUAAUAUAUAUCUGAACAUGAUUAUAAGUAGGGGUGGAUGAUUAUAUCAGAACAAUUUUUUAGGGGCGGAUGAAAGUUUUAUUUUUUAUAGUCUAUAUCUUUAUCAUUUUUAAAGGAUUAAAUCGAUUUUUUAUAAUUUUAGGGGGGGCUAAAGUAUAAUUUUACCUUUACUAAUUUAAAUUUUAAAAAUAAUUAAGGGCCUAAAUAGUAGUUUUACAUUUUAGGGGGGUUGGGCCCCUGCCAUCCCCUAGAUUCGCCACUGAUUAUAAUAAUAUAUUUUUUCAAAAGAAAAUGCACACAUACUUAUAUUUAAAAGAUAAAAUAAUUUAUUCGACCCUUCAAUUUUACAAAAAAUAAUAAUAAUAAUAACACUCCAUUUAAUUUCUUAUUUAUUUUAGCUAUUAAACUUGCAUUAUUCACCAAAUCACUUCAAAAUAAAUAGAAAAAUUAACAUUCGUUAACUUUGCUGACAUGACAUUCACAUGGAAUGGCACGAUGCAACAUCAACAAUUAAUUAUUUUUUAAUUUAAAAAUUCAAUAAAAUUAUUUAAAAGUAUAAAUUUAUAAAAAAAAUUAUUUUUUUAAAAUUAAUUAAUGACUAACGUAGCAUCCAUGUGGAUUGCCAUGUGGAUGCCACAUCAACAAAGUUAACAUACAUUAAUUUUUUUCAUCUAUUUUAGCGUAAUUUGACAAACAAUACAAACCCAAAAGCCAAAAAGGAUAAAAAAAUUAAUAAAAAUUUAAAAUGAUUUAUUAUAAAGUUGAUAGAUCAAAUAAAUCAUUAUACGUAUUUAAAACUCAAAUCUAAAUCCGAGUAACUCUAUCAUUAUAGGUAAUUUUUUUGAACGAUCUCAUUAUAAGUUUUGAUCAUAUCUAUUUUUUUAACACAAUGCUACCCAUAGCCCAUACCCCUCCUUAACCCAUAAAUAAAAAGAAAAUGCGCUUCAGCUAGCUCCAACCCACGUCCUCUUGCAUUGACAAUAAUACUUAUACUAAUCGAACUAAGACUUCAACCACCAUUUUUUUUCAAAGUAAUUUAGUUGCCAGUAACUUUCAAAUUUAAAGAGAAAAAGAAAAUUCAUGGUGGCAUUUCAAUUUCAUGGACUUAUUUAGGAUCUAAUCAACCAAUUAGAACUAAUUUAUUGAUACAGGUGGAUGAUAGAGAAAAUAAAAUAGUAAAUGGGAAACUCCUAUGCCUCUAUGUAUCUUAUGGUUCCUAUCUUAUAUCAGGUCUGUUCAAUUUCACUUUAAUUUUUUUUAAUCACAUUAAUUUAGUAUCCUACUAGGUUGCAUCUGUAUCAAUUGUACACUUGAUUAUAUUUUUUAUGAUUUUUUUAAUUUUUAUUAUGGAAUUAUAACAUAAUAAUAUAUGUUUAAUUUUAAAAUUUAUUUUAAAGGAAAAUACUAUUUUUUAAGGAAAAAAUAUUUAAAAAAAAACCGAUACAAUAAAUUUUUUUGAACAAUCUCAAUUAUGUUCAUAUUUGCUCUUUUUAACAUAAUACUUAAAACUACUCAUAGCCCAUUCUCAAUCCAUAGCCCCUAACCUUUCAAAAAAUGUCUAAUUGUUGUAUUUUUAACGAAAAUAUUAACUAAAACAUUAAAUUUUUAAGCAUGGCAGUUCGCAUGACAAUUCAUGUGUACCUCAUGCUUUUUUUUAAUAUUUUAUAAUUUUAAAUUAUUUGUUGACGUGGUAUCUAGACAAAUAGUGUCAUAUUAGCAUGGAGCAUACAUGGACUACCACGCAGGUUGUCGCGCCAACAUCACUAAAAAUAUAAUGUUUUAGUUAGCAUUUAACUUAAAAAAGUGAUUUGACUGUUUUCAAAAGAUUAAUAAUCAAAUUUAGCUAAAAAAAAGAAUAACAGCUAAAUUGACAAAAGAUGUAAAUGUUGAAGGUUAAAUUUAUUAUUAUAAAGGACUUAAUUUUUUAAUUUUUUAAAAUAGAAAUUAGAUUUUAAAUUUUUUUCUAAGCCUAAAGACUAAUAGUAUAUUUAAACAUAAAAAAAAAGUGUGAUUAAAUCCAAAAGUUUUAAAAGAUGAGAUGAAAUUGAAUGUGGUGCAAAUACUAAAAUUUGAACAUGAUGGCAAUUAGGUGUAGUGUUACUUUCAUUCAAUCCAAGGGGUUAUUAAGUUAAUUGAUUGAUUUGUUGAUAAGAUUGACUAUGAUGCUUUUUCAACACUUUGGGGUGUCUUUUUGCAAAUAGACAAAUUAUAGUUUGGUAGAGGCCAAAAUUAGUGAUUUAUUUUACUACACAUCACCACAGCAAUAAAGGAAAAUUAAUCUAACAACUAAUCCCCUUUUGACAGCUUCCAAGAUAUUUUGAAUUGCAUUUACACAUAAAUGUCACCAUGAAGUUUCAUCUAUGUUAUGAGAAGAAAAUCAACACUAAUAUUACUUCAAAAAAAUUGGAAGGUAAAAGUAUCAUGGCGGUCUUAAUUUUAAGGGUCAAAUUACAUUUUGCUCUAUUUACUAAAAAAAUGGGCAAAUUAGUCUAUGUAACUUAGAUCAAAGAGCAAAUCAGUCUUUCUAUUAAAAAUUUCAUCCAUUUCUACUAUUAAAAAUCAGUCCAUGUACAUUAGAAUGAGAUACAUGUGGCACGUUAAGUUUAACUGUUUGGUUAUUCUGUCAAUCACGUCAGUUUUUAACAAUAAAAAUUGAUAAAAAUUUUAAUAAAAAUGACCAAUUUGCUUUUUGAUCUAAUGUAUAGGGAAUAAUUUGUCCAUUUUUUUAGGGAAUAAUUAUGUGUGUAAUUAGCUAAUCUUAAUAUAUAUAUAUAUUCUUAGAAAAUCUAAUCUUGGACAUGUAUGGUAAUUUUUUUUUUAGUAAAGAAUCCUUAAUUAAAAUGGAAUUCGAGAAAAUUUACUUUUGCAAAAUGUAUCACAAUACCAAUUGUAAACCUUGUUUAGAGAAAGAAGUACAUAAAUAAACUCUAUUAAUUAAAACCCAAAUUCGAUUCAACCUAAUUUAAUAAUAAAACGUUAACAACUCGAAUCUAAACUGCUUCGAAUUUAAAGUUGAUUUAAAUCCAAUAGAAUUAAAAUCUUAUAUGACUUAAAUCCAAAUAAAUAAUCAAAAUGAUUCAAACCUAAAAUGAUCCAAACUAAAAAAAAAUUAAAUCAUAAAAUCGACAUAAUCCAAAAUUAAAAUAACCUAAAUUGAAUUACAACAAAACUAAAAAGUACCUAAACCCUCGUCUAAAACCAACUUCACUAAAUUGACAUAUUUACUCUAUAAUAUAAUCAAUUGGGGACCCUCGAAAAGCAAUGGCUUAUGUGAGACCCAAUUUUUGCCCGGCCCAUUAACAAAUAACCCAAUUACAAAUAAAAUAAAAUACCCCUGCCCAAUUACUAAAUCAACCCAAACCUAGACCCAAAAUCUAAACCCACUAAAACUAAACCCUAAUGGCCCAAAUGGCCCAAAGUACAAAUCAGAAAACAGAACCCUAGCCUACUGCCUUCAGCCGCACCACCUGCCCUUUUGACUUCCACGCCGCCGCCGUCAUUUCCUCUCUGUUGCCGUCGCCUCUAGCAACCACCAACUCUGCCACCUAAUCCAUCAGCAUCAAAUCACUCUGCAAACAAGGGGAAAACACGCAAAGUAGCAAAAUAAUAGAGAAAAUAGAAAUGGAUCGGCUAUAAAAGCCAAACACCAUGUCUGUAUUUUUUUUUUACAAUGGAUGAACAACACCAGUGAAUAAUAAGGAGAUAAAAACAAAAGAAAAAGGUUGAUUUCAAUUUAUUUUCUUCUCUGUUCUUGCGUUUUUUAUUUACUUUCUUCUAUUUUAUUUAUUUUUUUGUUUAUUUUGUUUAUUUUCUACAGCUCUUUUAACGAAACAAAAAUAAGAAAAGGGAAUUACCUGUGCCGCGCCGGAAAGGAGAAGACGAGCGGUUUCCCCUCGUUCUUCAGGCUUCGGACUUUUUUUUAGGUUUGGCCCUAGAUUUGUGCCUAAGACACGCUUGGCUUCGAAAAGAGGAUCAAAAGAUCCGAUUUUGGAGUCGCCGGCCACCGCAUGCGGCGGUGCUAGGGCGGAGGCAUGCCGGAGGCCUAGAUCGGCCGAUGAUCGGCGCCAGGGCCUGAGAGAAUACAAGAGAGAGAGUUCUCUCUCAGUUUUUUUUUUUAAAUGAUGAAUCUGAUUUUUUUAGUUUUUUUUUAGUUUUUUCUAAUAUUUAUACUAAAAGUAAAGCGGCACCGUUUUGAGAUCCCUUGACCCGCGCAGCGACCCGGCCCAAGGGGAAGGAUCCGCGCGUUCUGCCUUAGGGGGAUAUUUGCGCCAUAGGUCCUCUCUCCUUUGUGGCGUAUACAAUACAGUUUUUUUUAUUUUUACAAUUUUGGCAUCGAAUGUUAUUUCUGUUUCAGUUUGGUCCCUAGACCAUGCGCUUUGACUUCGUUGGAACGGCGUCGUUUAAUCGACAUGGGUUAUUUCCCUAUUCAGUCCUCCCUCUUUCAGCGCGCGUCACAAUUUAAUCCUUUUUUCGUUUUUUAUUUCGAUUUCACCCAAUACUUUCGUUUAUUUUGAUUUAGUCCAUAUUUUAGCAACUUUAUUAUUAUUAUUAUUAUUAUUAUUAUUAUUAUUAUUAUUAUUAUUAUUAUUAUUAUUAUUAUUAUUAUUAUUAUUAUUAUUAUCAUUACUACUACUAUAUAAUUGCUUUAUUAUAUAUACUAUAUAUAUAUUAUANNNNNNNNNNNNNNNNNNNNNNNNNNNNNNNNNNNNNNNNNNNNNNNNNNNNNNNNNNNNNNNNNNNNNNNNNNNNNNNNNNNNNNNNNNNNNNNNNNNNCCACUUAUUAUUUUGAAUGAAUGUUUAACUUUAUUCGUUUAUAUACUUGGUUAUUUUAGUAUGUUAUAGAUUUGACUUUUUAUUUAUUUUAUAUUGUUGCUAUUGCUCGUAUCAUUUUUGGUAUUUAUCAUAGUUUUGCCAUGCAUAACAACGUAAUUUGCUUUCACAUUUUACUACGACUUUGUGUUUUUAUUUCACUUGAUAUAACUAAAUUUGUUUUAAAAAAUGGCACUUCGUGUUUAGAUUCGAGAAGAUCGUACCCUAACUCACUGGGUUUCGAUUUUCACAAUAAAUCUAAAUACACGAAUAUUUUCAAACUUAAGUUUUUAAAUGAUCUCGGGAAUUAAGAAAAGAUUAUGUCCUAACUUACUGGGCAUGAUCCAUUUCCUAAACCCGAGAUAAUAAAAUAUUUUUUAAAUAAAUAAAUUUUGGCAUUCAUUCGCGUAUCCGAAAUUCGAGGCAUUGUGUCCUAACUUACUGGAUAUGAUUCUCUUUCUUGAAUAACGUGAAACAUGCCCCUUUUCCUAAAAAUUUCUAAUGCUUUAAUACAAUGAUCGUAUUUUUAAAUUUCUUUAAAGUUUUCAGUUUUUCGACACUAAGAGCUUAAGUAAUCAACUAGGUACCAAUUUGGGGCGUAUCGAGGGUGCUAAUCCUUCCUCGUGCGUAACCGACUCCCGAACCCAUUUUUUUCUGAAUUUCGUGGACCAAACUUGUUGUUUUAAUAAAAUCAAGCCGUUUAUUAAAAACAACCACUUUUCGAGGUGAUCCAAUCACACCUCAUAAAAAAGGAUUGGUGGUGAUUCCUGUUUCAUUUUUCAAAACCCAAGUCGACCCCGUUUUCAUCCAAAAAAUAGUGUCAACAGCUUACAUACUAAAACUUUCAUGAAACAGAAAAGGGGUAAUAUAAUUUUUGGUCUGAUAAUGAGGUUUAUUUAGUAUUUGUAUUUCUUUCUCUAUUUUAACACUUGAAUUUGACAACUAAAUUCAUUUUGGUCCCUAAAUUUAAAAAAAUUAUAGCGCAACACUUUAAUUUUGUGCCACAUCAUCACUUGAAAACUAAAAAAAAUUAUAUAAAUUUUUAGGUGAUGACGUGGUACAAUCAUAGAGUGUAACAUACAACAAUCUAAUAAUCGAACUAGUUGGUUAAACCGAUCAAACCAUUGGUGCUCGAUUCGAUCAAUUUGAUCAAUUCAACUGCUAGACAAACAAUGAUUAAAUAAAUAAUUAAAAAUUCAUAAAAAAUAAUUUUUAUUAAACAUGGUCCAUUAUCAGUUUUCAAUUUUGUCAGUUUUGAGUUGUUUUCGAUUCAAUUGGUUCAACCCUUUUGUUUGGACCAAUAUAUCAAUCGGUUCUCGAUCCAGUCAUUUUCGAUCCACCGAUCCGGUCAUGUUCCAAGAACACUAGUUACUUAAUCAAAUAUUGAUAGAAUUCAAGUUCAAGGAUCAAAAUGGAUCUAGUUAUCAAAUUCAAGUGCCAAAGUAAACAAAAAAAAAGUACAAGCAUCAAAGUGAACUUAAUUGCCAAGUUCAAGAAGAUAUUAAGGUAUAACCAAGUAAACCAUCAAGUGAUUGGUUCAAUGAUUUCAAACCUUGGAGACAACAUUGUUGAAAGGAGCAAGUACAAACCCCAACUCAAUCUGUAAAAUGAGAAGUAAAAAUAAAACUGUAUAACAAGUAAAUAUGAAGAAACUCAACCCUCUGUUCUCCAUUGUCAGCCAUGGCUACCAAUUCGAUCCGAAGUUGAAGAUAUUCUCAUUUUGCAUCACUUUCGGAGGAGACCUUUGGGGUGGUACUGAGGAGAGAAGAAUAUGAAAGCUUUUCUAAAAGCUACUUUCGUAGUUGCGUAACAAAAAAAAUCAUAAUUGAACCACUACUAUUGUAAUUAAAAAAUAUUUUAUAUUGAGAUUAAACCACAACUUGCUAAUUACAUGUUAAACAAUAUCUUUCUUCAAAACAACAUCAAUGAAUAUUUCAAUCUAACUUGCUAAUUACAUGUUGAUGGGCUCAAAACGUCUCGGGAGGAAAGGAUACGUCGACAGAAGUGACAGCAAAGCGGCGGUUGAUUUGAUUCAUGGGACCGAUAGGGUUGUACUACCAAGACUGGGUUUGGAAAUUUGCAAUUGGAUAGGGAGGGACUGACAAGUUAAGGUUCAAUAUGUGCCAUGAACAACAAAUAUGGCAGCAAAUGCUAUAACCAGAAAGGUUAGGAGUAAUGCAAAGGGAUUUCACUUCUUCAUUCACCCCCUUCAAUGGUUCAAGAUGUAAUGAUACGAGAUAAAUGUUAAACAACCCAACUUUUAACUUUCUUAGUUGAGCCUUAUAGUUAAACUUCCAUUUCUAUCCAUCUAUCUAUCUAUAUAUAUAUAUAUAUAUUUCAAUCAAAGUCCCUUGUGUUGUUAGCCUUAAAAAUUACCAAACCUACAAAUCUCGUUGCAUUCUUCCAAUUUCAAGAUUCCAACACCAAAAAGGAAAGGUUGAAGAAAUAAAAUGGAUCAAACAGAAAAGCAGAAGCAGAAGCAAUCACUGAGUCAGUUCCAUAGAAAACUGACUCGGUUGCUUCUUUCAGUUUCUAUUUUUUCCUUGUUUUUUUCUCAUUCUUUGUUCCAUUCCUUAAACUCCACUUUCCAUGACACACUUGCUUUCAAGUUUCUUAGCCAUAACAUAGAAAAAAACUUCAUAUUCCUUCUUUGCAAUGGCCUCCUUGUUUUCCUUGCAAAAUUUUCUGGACUCAUCAGUUCUUCAUCAAAGCAUAAUAAUGAUCAUCAGUCUUUCAAGAGCUAUGAAUAUGUUACUCAAACUGAGUCAACUAGUUUGGAUCCCAAAACACCAUUGUUAGAGAAGGAAGAAAAUGCUGGUCUUGAUGAAGAAGAGUUAAAACGGGCAUCAGUUGAUGAACCUUUUGUUGAAGAGAUGAACAAAAGGUUUGAUGAAUUUAUCAGAAAGGUGAAAGAAGAAUUAAGCACGGAAGCUUGACAACAGUUAGUCAUUGUUUAUAAUUUGUCAAAUCAUUUCGGGUUUUGGGCAAUGAAUUUUUUAGGUUGGGUAAUGAAGGCAUCGAAGAAUGGCACAGUAGUAAAUCAGGGUUGACGAUGUUUGGGGCCUUGGAACCUUGAUAAAGUUACACGGAGUAAACACAAUCUAACCAACAAGGUCCAGAAGAGCCAGUGGGUGGACAAUGUAUAUUGGCUCACCCAUACACGACGCUGAUGGACACAGUGAAAAAGCUGAGGAUGACGAUGUUUUUGGUAUCGUUAAUGGAGAUCACACUGAUGAAGAAGCUGGCAAAGAUGAUUCAAUGGCGUCUGAUGCUUCUUCAGGAUGAAAGGGUCGAUGAAAGGGUCAAAAUUUGAUCCCAUGAUUAAAAAAAAACAUAGUUUAUCCAUACCACUAAGGAUAUAAAUGAGACACUUAUGCUUAUAAGCUAUUCAAGUUUGAUUCGAAAAAAUUCAAAUUCAAUUUGGUAAUUAUAGAGCUAAGCUCGAGUGAUCGAUCGUGUCAAAUUCAAAUUUAGUAAUAUUUGAUUCAAACGACUCACGAACUUUAUCGAACUUUUAAUUUUUUUAUAUUAUUAAAUUAUGUUAUUACCCUUCACAUAUAUUAUUAACCCUAAGCUUAAUUGAGUACAAAAUUGAUAAACGAGCUCAAACUCGAAUACCUUAUAUGAUAUCUUAUGGUUCCUAUAUGAUAUCAAGUCUUUUUAGUUCCAUCUAUAAUUGUUUUGCUUUAUGACAUUAAUUUGGUAUUCCAUUUUUAUUAACAAAAUGUUAAAAUUUUGUUGUUAGUCUUUAUACUUUUCUAAAAUUUGAUAUUUAGUCCAUAUACUUUAACUGCAAAUAAUUUAAGUAUCUUACUUUUUCAAUUUAAAAAUCCUCGUCCAAUCACUAAAACCGUUACUAGUUUUCGUCAAAUUUAUCAACUUGAUAUUAUACAAGGGUAGUCUAAUUAGCAUGCCAAAUUGACAUUUUUUCGAAAAAUAUAAAUAAUGUUAAUAUCUGAAUUGAGAUUUUUAAAUUGGAAGUACAAUGACGGAACCCCUUAUAUAAUUCGACCACCGACAUAGAUGAGCAAUAUCACUUAACAAGAUUAUUUAAUACAAUUUCAGACUUUUACUAAGCUUUGAACACAUGUUUGAAAUUAUUUUGAACUAUUCCCAAGGUCUUUGAAUUUACCCACAGAAUAAAAUGGGGUUCCAAGGACCUAGAAUGACUAAAAAUACAAGGUGUAGUGGCUUAAGUCUCGAGACUCAGGCAACAAAUCCUAAUACUGGGCCUAUAGGUCUUGAGAGUUGGACUUCCUACUUCAAAUUUUACUAUUGACUAACCAGUCUUGUUACUAGAAGGGUUUAAUCUCAAGACUUAAUGUUGGGGACCUCAAAAUUGGUUCAAAAACACUUUGAAUCAUCCCCAAACAUCAUCAUAUGAUACCUGUAAAUCUCAAAUAAUUUCAAAACCAUUUUAAAGCUCAUUCUAGCUUAAUUUCAAGUUAUACUCAUGUUCAAAUGUCAAAUAAAAUAUUCACAUAAUUUCAAAUGACACAUGGUAACUCAAAUAAAUGUAAUUAUAAACAGUUAUACUAGCCUAAACCUUUAUGUACAUGUCAUUACACCAUCAUAACUAAUACAUAAAAUUAAUUACUUUACAACCUUCCGACCUCAUACACUAAUGCGAUCCUCCCUAUAUACGAUCUCAAGCUCUUUGGAAAAGUUUUUACCUAUGGGUUCAAAUAACUAACACGUUAAGCUCAAAGAGUUCCAUAAGUACACUCAAGCUUCCUACCUUACCUUAUCUCAUAUAUAUAUAUAUUAUUAAGCCUGAGUUUAAUUAUUGAGCUUAAUUGAGCUCAAACUCGAGUAGCUCAAUUAUAUCUCGACCCAAGAUCAAACUUAAAAAUAAAUAUUCGAUCAAGUUCAAACCAAGUAUCGAGCUUCAAAUUUCAAGUCGAACUUAACAGUAUUUAGACUCGGAUUAGCUCAAUUCUAAAGCAAAAUAACAGUGGCUUAAAAGAGAGAAAUAUUCAUUUGUAACCGAAAUUAAAUGAGUUGAUGAUAACCAAUUAGAACUAACGUAUUGAUAUGGGCGGAUGAUAGAGAAAGGACACUCCUAGCCAAGGCCCCUAUCUUAUGGUUCCUAUAUGAUAUCAGGUCUUUUUAGUUCCAUCUAUAAUUGCCUUGUUUUAAUGACAUUAAUUUGGUAUUCCAUUUAUUUUAACAAAUGGUUAAAUUUUGUCGUUAAUCUCUAUACUUCUAUGAACUUUGAGAUUUAGUCCAUAUGCUUUAAAAGUUCUAGUCCAAUCACUAAAACCGUUAGUACUUUUCGUCAAAAUUUGUCAACUCGAUAUUAUAUAAAGGCAGUCUAAUCAACAUGUCAAAUUGGUAUUUUUCUAAAAAAUACUAACAAUGUUAAUGAUUGGAUGACUUUUUAAGUAUAAUAACUAAAUCUUAAAAAAAAAAAUCGAAUAUACUACUUAUUAGUUAGUUCUUCAUUUUACUUAUAUGAAGCGGUGAUUAAAAUUUUUAUCAAACACCCGUUUGAUACAAGUUCAAAUUAUGUUAUCCUAUCCCAAUAUUUAUUAAGAAAAGUUUUUAAUAUAUAUUUACAGAGAAGUCCUAGAUGAAAGAUGGUAAUAGUUAAUGACAUAGACAUUAGAUAUAAAGAGAAAAUUUUUUUUAUAAAAAAUCCUAAUUUAAUUAUUAUAAAAGAAGUUGUAUUUGGAAAUUUAAACACAAACUUGGUAAUUACAAUGUUAAAUAAAAUUUUUAAAAAAUCAAAUAAAAACUCAAAUCAAUUUGAUUCCUCUAUAAAAAGGGCAUACCCUUUAGUUUCUUAGCCUUACAAAUUACCAAACAUAGACAUCCCAUUGCAUCUUCCAAUUUAAAUUUAAAGAGAAAAGGAAAAUUCAUGGUGGCAUUUCAAUUUCAUUUUAGGAUCUAAUCAACCAAUUAGAACUAAUUUAUUGAUACAGGUGGAUGAUAGAGAAAAUAAAACAUUAAAUGGGAAACUCCUAUGCCUCUAUGUAUCUUAUGGUUCCUAUCUUAUAUCAGGUCUGUUCAAUUUCACUUUCAAUUGUUUUAAUCACAUUAAUUUAGUAUCCUAUUAGGUUGCAUUUGUAUCAAUUGUACACUUGAUUACAUUUUUUAUGAUUUUUUUUAAAUUUUUAUAACAAAUAAUUGAUAAUUUUAUUAUGAGAUUAUAACAUAUUUAAUUUUUUUAAAAAAAUUUAAAGGAAAAUACUAUUUUUUAAGGAAAAAUAUUAAAAAACCGAUACAAUAUUUGUUUUGAAUAAUCUCAAUUAUGUUCAUAUUUGCUAUUUUUAACAUAAUGGCUAAAACUACUCAUAGUUCAUUCCCAAUCCAUAGCCCCUAAAACUACCAUCAACCUUUCAAAAAAAAGUCAAAUUGUUGUAUUUUUAACGAAAAUAUUGAAUAAAACAUUAAGUUUUUAAGCAUGGCAGUUCGCAUGACAAUUCAUAUGUACUUCAUGUUUUUUUAAUAUUUUAUAAUUUUUAAAUUAUUUGUUGACGUGGUACAUAGACAAAUAGUGUCAUGUAUAUGUUAGCAUGGAGCAUACAUGGACUACCAUGUAGGUUUUCGCGCCAACAUCACUAAAAAUAUAAUGUUUUAGUUUUAGUUAGCAUUUUUGUUAAAAAAGUGAUUUGGCUCUUCUCAAAAGAUCAAUGAUCAAAUUUAGCUAAAAAAAAAAGAAUUACAGCUAAAUCGACAAAAGAUGUAAAUGUUGAAGGCAAAAUUUAUCAUUAUAAAGGACUUAAAUUUUUUAAUUUUUUAAAUUAGAAAUUAGAUUUUAAUUUAUUUUCAAAGCCUAAAGACUAAUAGAAUAUUUAAACAUAAAAAGAAAAAGUGUGAUUAAAUCCAAAAGUUUUAAAAGAUGAGAUGAAAUUGAAUGUGGUGCAAAUACUAAUCUUUGAACAAAAGGUUUGAUGAAUUUAUCAGAAAGGUGAAAGAGGAAUUAAGCACGGAAGCUUGACAACAGUUAGUCAUUGUUUAUAAUUUGUCAAAUCAUUUCGGGUUUUGGGUAAUGAAUUUUUUAGGUUGGGUAAUGAAGGCAUCGAAGAAUGGCACAGUAGUAAAUCAGGGUUGACGAUGCUCGGGGCCUUGGAACCUUGAUAAAGUUACACAGAGGAAACACAAUCUAACCAACAAGGUCCAGAAGCGCCAGUGGGUGGACAAUGUAUAUUGGUUCACCCAUACACUACGCUGAUGGACACAGUGAAAAAGCUGAGGAUGAUGAUGUUUUUGGUAUCGUUAAUGGACACGGUUAAAUUCAAAUUUAGUAAUAUUUCACUCAAACGACUCACGAACUUUAUCGAACUUUUAAUGUUUUUAUAUUAUUAAAUUAUGUUAUUACCCUUCACAUAUAUAUUAACCCUAAGCUUAAUUGAGUAUAAAAUUUAUGAACGAGCUCAAACUCGAAUAGCUUAUAUGAUAUCUUAUGGUUCCUAUAUGAUAUCAAGUCUUUUUAGUUCCAUCUAUUGUUUUGCUUUAAUGACAUUAAUUUGGUAUUCCAUUUAUAUUAACAAAAUGUUAAAAUUUUGUUGUUAGUCUUUAUACUUUUCUAAAAUUUGAGAUUUAGUCUAUAUACUUUAAAUGCAAAUAAUUUAAGUAUCUUACUUUUUCAAUUUAAAAAUCCUCGUCCAAUCACUAAAACCGUUACUAGUUUUCGUCAAAAUUUAUCAACUUGGUAUUAUACGAGGGUAGCCUAAUUAGCAUGCCAAAUUGACAUUUUUUUUUCAAAAAAUACAAAUGAUGUUAAUAUUUGAAUUGAGAUUUUUAAAUUGGAAGUACAAUGACGGAAGGCAUUGGAACACCCCUUAUAUGGUUCGACGACCGACACGGAUAAGCAAUAUCACUUAACAAGAUUAUUUAAUACAAUUUCAGACUUUUACCAAACUUUGAACACAUGUUUGAAAUUAUUUUGAACCAUUCCCAAGGUGUUUGAAUUUAACCACAACAUAAAAUGGGGUUCCGAGGACCUAGAAUGACCAAAAAUACAAGUUUUGAAGGUGUAAUGGCUUAAGUCUCGAGACUUAGGCAACAAAUCUCAAUACUGGGCCUAUAGGUCUUGAGACUUGGACUUCCUACUACAAAUUUUUACCAUUUGACUUGCUAGUCUUGUUACUAAAAGAGUUUAAUCUCAAGACUUAAUGUUGGGAUCUCAAAAUUAGUUCAAAAACACUUCGAGUCAUCUCAAACAUCAUCAUAUGAUACCAAUAAAUCUCAAAUAAUUUCAAAACCAUUUUAAAGCUCAUUCUAGCUUAAUUUCGAGUUAUACUCAUGUUCAAAUGUCAAAUAAAGUAUUCACAUAAUUUCUAAUGACACAUGGUAACUCAAAUAAAUGUAAUUAGAAACGUUAUGCUAGCCUAAUCUCAAGCUCUAUGGAAAAGUUGUUAAGCUCAAAGAGUUUCAUAAGUGCACUCAAACUUCCUACCUUACCUUAUCACAUAUAUAUAUUAUUAACCCUAAGUUUAAUUAUUGAGCUUAAUUGAGCUCAAACUCGAGUAACUCAAUUAUAUCUCGACCCAAGAUUAAACUUAAAAAUAGAUAUUCGAUCAAGUUCAAACCAAGUAUCGAGCUUCAAAUUUCAAGUCAAACUUAACAAUAUUUAGACUCGGAUUAGCUCAAUUCUAAAGCAAAAUAACAGUGGCUUAAAAGAGAGAAAUAUUCAUUUGUAACCCAAAUUAAAUGAGUUGAUGAUAACCAAUUAGAACUAACGUAUUGAUACGGGCGGAUGAUAGAGAAAGGACACUCCUAGCCAAGGCCACUAUGUAUCUUAUGGUUCCUAUAUGAAAUCAGGUCUUUUUAGUUCCAUCUAUAAUUGUCUUGUUUUAAUGACAUUAAUUUGGUAUUCCAUUAAUUAUAUUAACAAAUGGUUAAAUUUUGUCGUUAAUCUCUAUACUUCAAUGAAAUUUGAGAUUUAGUCCAUAUGCUUUAAAAGUUCUAGUUCAAUCACCAAAACCGUUAGUAUUUUUCGUCAAAACUUGUCAACUCGACAUUAUAUAAAGGCAGUCUAAUCAACAUGUCAAAUUGAUAUUUUUCUAAAAAAUACUAACAAUGUUAAUGAUUGGAUGACUUUUUAAGUAUAAGAACUAAAUCUUUAAAAAAAAUUGCAUAUACUACUUAUGAGUUAGUUCUUCAUUUUACUUAUAUGAAGCGGUGAUUAAAAUUUUUAUCACUUAUGAGUUAGUUCUUCAUUUUACUUAUAUGAAGCGGUGAUUAAAAUUUUUAUCAAACACCCGUUUGAUACAAGUUCAAGUUAUGUUAUCCUAUCCCAAUAUUUAUUAAGAAAAGUUUUUUUAAUAUAUAUUUACAAAGAAGUCCUAGUUGAAAGAUGGUAAUAGUUAAGGACUUAGACAUUAGAUAUAAAGAGAAAUUUUUUUUUUAAAAAAAUCCUAAUUUAAUUCUUAUAAAAGAAGUUGUAUUUGGAAAUUUAAACCCAAACUUGGUAGUUACAAUGUUAAAUAAAAUUUUAAAAAAAUCAAAUAAAAACUCAAAUCAAUUUGAUUCAUCUAUAAAAAGGGCAUACCCCUUUAGUUUCUUAGCCUUACAAAUUACCAAACAUAGACAUCCCAUUGCAUCUUCCAAUUUCAAGUCUCCAACACCAAAAAGGAGAGUUUGAAGGGGAAAAAAAUGGAUCAAACAGGAAACCAGAAGCAGAAGCAAUCACUGAUGAGUCAGUUCAUAGAAACUCAGUUCCAUAGAAAUCUGACUCAGUUGCUUCUUUCAGUUUCUAUUUUUUCCUUGUUUUUUUCUCACUCAUAUUGCCUUUCCUUGUUCCAUUCCUUUAGCUUCACUUUCCAUAACACACUUGCUUUCAAGUUUAUUAGCCAUAACAUAGAUAAAAACUUCAUAUUCCUUCUUUGCAAUGGCCUCCUUGUUUUCCUUGCAAAAUUUUCCGGACUCAUUAGUUCUUCAUCACAGCAGAGUAAUCUUAGUGAUGAUCACUAUAAUCAUCAGUCUUUCAAAAGCUAUACAUACAUCCCUCAAACUGAGUCGACCCGCUUGGACACCUCAACACCAUUGUUGGAGUUGGAGAAGGAAGAAAACGCUGGUUUUGUUGAAGGAGAGGAAAAAGGGUCCUCAAUUGAUGAACCUUUUGUUGAAGACAAUGAAGAAAGUGAAACCUAUGAACCAGAAGAAGAAGAAGAAGAAGAAGAAGAAGAAGAAGCAGAUAUUGAAGAAAGUGAAACCUAUGAACCAGAAGAAGAAGAAGAAGAAGAAUUAAUGGAAGGAAACAAUGUGUUAAGUACUGAAGAGAUGAACAAAAGAUUUGAUGAAUUUAUCAGAAAAAUGAAGGAAGGAUUAAGGAUCGAAGCUCAACAACAAUUAGUCAUG
Molecule: long non-coding RNA, 15824 nt
Filed under: Gossypium raimondii (Peruvian cotton)
Lineage: Eukaryota; Viridiplantae; Streptophyta; Magnoliopsida; Malvales; Malvaceae
Description: long non-coding RNA (GRAI_LNC007877)
Rfam family: MIR7502 microRNA precursor family (bases 3233-3377)
Source: RNAcentral